This 331-nucleotide ribosomal RNA is filed under the name uncultured bacterium. RNAcentral's name for it is "bacterial SSU rRNA". It matches the Rfam family "Bacterial small subunit ribosomal RNA", at positions 9 to 341 of the family's 1533-position model. The record is from RNAcentral.
GAGUUUGAUCAUGGCUCAGAUUGAACGCUGGCGGCAGGCCUAACACAUGCAAGUCGAGCGGUAGAGAGAAGCUUGCUUCUCUUGAGAGCGGCGGACGGGUGAGUAAUGCCUAGGAAUCUGCCUGGUAGUGGGGGAUAACGCUCGGAAACGGACGCUAAUACCGCAUACGUCCUACGGGAGAAAGCAGGGGACCUUCGGGCCUUGCGCUAUCAGAUGAGCCUAGGUCGGAUUAGCUAGUUGGUGAGGUAAUGGCUCACCAAGGCGACGAUCCGUAACCGUCUGAGAGGAGUGAUCAGUCACACUGGAACUGAGACACGGUCCGAGACUCCUA